UGCUCAGCCUCUGUGCCCUGGGGUGGCUCUGCCUUCGAGGGUACCCCAAGGGUCUCUGCUCUUAGGGGGGGUGUCUCAGAAACUAGAGUCCUACCCUACCCCUCCUGAAUGUUUUAUAUGGGGAGAAAGAAGGAAGGAGUUUAUAAAAUGUUUUGGAGAGUUCCUAUAUUUCAGAGGUCACCCAUUUGCUUCCUUCAUUGAGAAAUUCUUUGUUUCUUUUUCUCUUUUCCCAGCCAGUGUGGUUCUACUCUCUCAAGCAAAAGCAGUCAAGCAGCUUCAGAAAGUGGAUGAAGAAACAUAACUGAGUGGCCAAGCACCCCUGGUGAAGGAGACAUGACUCUUCCAGGAGAGUGGGAUGGAGAGGAUGGACUGCAAAUGAAAGAAGCACUGACAGAAGAAAAACAGCUUCCUGUGGAAAACCUACAAAGCAAGGAGAGAGAAAGGGGUGAAAAAUGUACUGUGUUGCAUAGCACACAACAAGACUUAGAUUUUUGAGGGAGGUGGCAUCUG
Pezoporus flaviventris is the source of this 510-nucleotide long non-coding RNA. RefSeq lists it as uncharacterized. Lineage: Eukaryota; Metazoa; Chordata; Aves; Psittaciformes; Psittacidae. The record is from RefSeq and is a predicted model, not a curated record. The transcript is spliced from 2 exons.